This 460-nucleotide ribosomal RNA is filed under the name uncultured bacterium. Its description in RNAcentral is "partial 16S ribosomal RNA". It matches the Rfam family "Bacterial small subunit ribosomal RNA", at positions 338 to 795 of the family's 1533-position model. The record is from RNAcentral.
CCUACGGGUGGCAGCAGUGAGGAAUAUUGGUCAAUGGACGAGAGUCUGAACCAGCCAAGUAGCGUGAAGGAUGACUGCCCUAUGGGUUGUAAACUUCUUUUAUAUGGGAAUAAAACGUUCCACGUGUGGGAUUUUGUAUGUACCAUAUGAAUAAGGAUCGGCUAACUCCGUGCCAGCAGCCGCGGUAAUACGGAGGAUCCGAGCGUUAUCCGGAUUUAUUGGGUUUAAAGGGAGCGUAGGUGGAUUGUUAAGUCAGUUGUGAAAGUUUGCGGCUCAACCGUAAAAUUGCAGUUGAAACUGGCAGUCUUGAGUACAGUAGAGGUGAGCGGAAUUCGUGGUGUAGCGGUGAAAUGCUUAGAUAUCACGAAGAACUCCAAUUGCGAAGGCAGUUCACUGGACUGCAACUGACACUGAGGCUCGAAAGUGUGGGUAUCAAACAGGAUUAGAUACCCCAGUAGUC